ACCCUCUCAGUGCUGCACCUGGAGAGUUUCCAGUACUCUACCAGUCUCGACUUCGAGAGAGAGAGUCAAGCAGGGGCUUACCCAUUCCAUUCCUAGCUUGGCCAAUGGCUAGCGAGGGGAAGGCAAUCUGCUACAAGU
This is a non-coding RNA of Ornithorhynchus anatinus (platypus), 138 nucleotides long. NCBI's taxonomy places the organism in Eukaryota, Metazoa, Chordata, Mammalia, Monotremata, Ornithorhynchidae. The record is from Rfam.